RNAcentral lists this long non-coding RNA (433 nucleotides) under Homo sapiens (human). RNAcentral describes it as "long non-coding RNA NONHSAT135243". Lineage: Eukaryota; Metazoa; Chordata; Mammalia; Primates; Hominidae. The record is from RNAcentral.
UUUACUAUAGUAACACUUAAUUUUAUUUCAAGUUUUACUGCCACAGUUAAAGGUUUUUACAAUAGCAGAUGCCUUCCCUCCCACACAUCAAUUAAUUUGCAAAUUCACUCAAGGUUGUAGAAAUAAUGAGGUGUGGAGAGAGUUCGUUCCACUGGUGGGCACUGCCAUCAGAAGGUGGAUGUGGUAGGCGAGGCGCUAAGCUUGGCCGCUGCUAGCUGCAUGCCAUGGGAGCCUGGGCACGGGGGACGGCUCUGCCACAAGCCCACGAGCCGAGCCCACCUUGGCUUGUUUGACCACUUAUAUGCUUGAAGGAGUUGACUAUAGAGAGGAGUUUUGUCCUGCACAGGAUCCAGGCUUAACAGCCCACUGUUAUGAAGAGGAUGGUUCUCAGAUGGCUUGCCUACCAGAUUGCUCAGACGUUCCAGCUCACUGA